AUGGCCGAGACGGUGUUCGCUCCGUGUUUGGAAGGGAUGAAGCAUGUCAGGUCGGACAGCGGGGUCAUGCUCGCCAAGCCCUUCCUUGAUGUCUGCAAGCAAAUCUUGCCUGUCCUGGAUAAAUUUGGUGCUGCUAUGGCAAUUGUGAAGAGUGAUAUUGGAGGUAAUAUCACGAGGUUGGAGAACAAGUAUUCUUCAGACCCGUCAAAAUAUGAGCACUUGUACACCAUGGUCCAAGAAGAAGUUGAAAAGAAGACCGCAAAGGGUUCAUCAAGCUGCACAAAUGGACUUCUAUGGCUCACGAGGGCUAUGGACUUCCUUGUUGAACUGUUCCGUAAUCUACUUGACCAUCCAGACUGGACUAUGAGUCAAGCAUGUACUGAUUCAUACACAAAAACUCUGAAGAAAUGGCAUGGGUGGCUCGCCAGUUCCAGUUUUACGGUGGCUAUGAAGCUUGCUCCUAACAAAGAUAAAUUUAUGGAGGUAAUUAGCGGAACGGGUGAUAUCAAAGCAGACAUUGAGAAAUUCUGCACCACCUUUUAUCCCUUUCUCAAGGAGAAUCAUGACUUCCUGGCCAGUGUUGGGCUCGAUGAUAUGAAGGCUUCUUAA
This 609-nucleotide ribosomal RNA is filed under the name Triticum aestivum (bread wheat). Its description in RNAcentral is "partial small subunit ribosomal RNA". Lineage: Eukaryota; Viridiplantae; Streptophyta; Magnoliopsida; Poales; Poaceae. The record is from RNAcentral.